CUACGGGGUGCUCCAGGCGAGAAAACUUUGCAAUGUGCGAAAGCACGACAAGGUUAAUCCGAGUGGUUUGUGCUAAACGAACCUUUUGACAGUCCUAGAAACACUGUUGAAUAAGGGGUGGGCAAGUUCUGGUGUCAGCCGCCGCGGUAAAACCAGCACCUCAAGUUGUCAGGAUGAUUAUUGGGCCUAAAGCAUCCGUAGCCGGCUCUGUAAGUUUUCGGUUAAAUCUGUACGCUCAACGUACAGGCUGCCGGGAAUACUGCAGAGCUAGGGAGUGGGAGAGGUAGACGGUACUCGGUAGGAAGGGGUAAAAUCCUUUGAUCUAUUGAUGACCACCUGUGGCGAAGGCGGUCUACCAGAACACGUCCGACGGUGAGGGAUGAAAGCUGGGGGAGCAAACCGGAUUAGAUACCCUCGUAGUC
This 422-nucleotide ribosomal RNA is filed under the name uncultured archaeon. RNAcentral's name for it is "partial 16S ribosomal RNA". It matches the Rfam family "Archaeal small subunit ribosomal RNA", at positions 323 to 746 of the family's 1478-position model. The record is from RNAcentral.